This 479-nucleotide ribosomal RNA is filed under the name uncultured bacterium. Its description in RNAcentral is "bacterial SSU rRNA". It matches the Rfam family "Bacterial small subunit ribosomal RNA", at positions 43 to 524 of the family's 1533-position model. The record is from RNAcentral.
CAGGCCUAACACAUGCAAGUCGAACGGUGGCAGCAAUGUCAUAGUGGCGCACGGGUGCGUAACACGUAACUAACCUGCCCAGACCUGGGGGAUAGCCCGCCGAAAGGCGGAUUAAUACCGCAUGAGAUAAUAAGGUGGCAUCACCUAGUUAUUAAAGAUUUAUCGGGUUUGGAUGGGGUUGCGGGUCAUUAGCUAGUAGGUGGGGUAAUGGCUCACCUAGGCGACGAUCCCUAGCUGGUCUGAGAGGAUGACCAGCCACACUGGAACUGAGACACGGUCCAGACUCCUACGGGAGGCAGCAGUGGGGAAUAUUGCACAAUGGGCGAAAGCCUGAUCCAGCCAUGCCGCGUGUGUGAAGAAGGUCUUCGGAUUGUAAAGCACUUUAAGUUGGGAGGAAGGGUUGUAGAUUAAUACUCUGCAAUUUUGACGUUACCGACAGAAUAAGCACCGGCUAACUCUGUGCCAGCAGCCGCGGUAAU